Molecule: long non-coding RNA, 5007 nt
Organism: Oncorhynchus gorbuscha (pink salmon)
Lineage: Eukaryota; Metazoa; Chordata; Actinopteri; Salmoniformes; Salmonidae
Exons: 5
Source: RefSeq, a predicted model, not a curated record
AGACAUACAGGGGUGGGGUGUAGCAUACAUCUCUCAAAAACUCAUUCCGUACUUUUAGAUAGUUAGGGACAGAACUAUUUUUAACGCUGUUAGCAUUGCUUUAGCCCAAACAUAAAGGCCUGAAUAUUGAGCUGCACGGACAGAUUAAAAAUAAUAAUAAUAAUAUUCUGAAUAAGUGAAUCUCGCAUAAUGGAUAUUUCUGGAGGAUCCCUGACAUUUACGCAGCUUUUACGCGAUUUACCGGAUCUGGAACAACAUGAGGGGGUUCACAGGAGCAGAAGUGAGGCAGGCAAUCACCAACGGCCUUUUUUCGUUCCGACAUACAGCCAGGAAUGAUAAAGGAUGCGUUAUGGACAUCUGACACGCCGGACUUUGAUGCAAUUCUACCGUUCUGUACGAGCAAUUUUUCAAACUCACCUCGAAUCCAGGGAGCAUCGACCCCCUCCCGAAAUAUUCCAGACCGCAACAGGAAAAGAGCAGCGGUGGCCCAAGUACAUUGCUCUGAAUCAAGCCCACCAGAAAACUACUGUUGGGCCGGGGACUUGCUGCUUCACGAGCCGACGCUCCAGGGACACGGCCCAGCAGAAUCUGGAACGCUAGAGGGGAAAAGUCACACACCCCAGGUUUCGGCCAUUCGUCACAACAAGCGCCAAAAAAGCCGAGACUCCGCCCCGGCGAAAAACGGCACAUUCCCGAUGAAACACCCGAGAGAACUGUUUUUAAUGACAUGUCAGAUGUUGACGACCAGCUAUUCUGUGAUGCGGCCAACCUUAUCGAACCAGUCAAUUCUACGGCCUCAAUACCUGCAGCCGAACAAGAAAGGUUUCCAGGGCUUUGAAAUCGAGGAAUGUUUUGCUAUACAAACGACUGGGUGAUUUAAUUGAGAGACAGUACAGAGACGAUAUGUUAUUCUGGCAUACAACAAUUCCACGCAUGUUAAACAGCAACCCCAUUAAAAAACGCAAAUACAGACACUAAAAUCAUACAUGUAACACCAACCAUUACAGAAAGACCCAAAAAACGAACACCCUUAAUUAUCCAAAAAUGGCAGAACUACCGCAACAAGGGGAGACAGUUGAAAGCCUCUUAUCCCAGAUUCCAGCCAAGCUCCUAGAAGUUAUUAAAACGUAUGAACGAGUCAGGAACAUUAGAUGAAAGCAUAUUAACAGAUUCCAGCCGAACUCUUAGAAAUGAUUAAUCGUAUGAACGAGUGAGGGGUGCCUGAGGAAAACAUGUUAUCCCAGAUUCCCGAAGCCCUCAUAACCUUAAUCAGAUGAACGAGAGUCAGACAAUUUCGGCCCCGACCACCCCAACAGCGAUAGAACAACCAGUAACGCCCAGGUCCGUAAAGUCUGAAACGCCACAAGAUGUUUUGGGGGAAUUGGACAAUUGUCUAAUAAAUCUGGAGGCAGAUGUUCAUGAUAGACGUGGCAGGGUUGUGUACAGGAAUAAAUUCAACAAUACAGAGAUUCAACAGUUUCUCAAUUUCCUAUGGGUGAAUCAGAAUCUUGACUAUGCUGUAUUUUACAUGAUGAUAAUGGACACUCUAAAUGAUCUGUUAGAGACGGCAAGAGAUUAUGGCGAACCUCGUGAUGUCUUACAAUUGGAAAUGUGUGGAGAUAUACUGUGUUAUGCAGGCUCUCUUAUUUUACCCAAUGGCGAAGCAGAUCUUGAACAAUUUACCGCGCCGGUAGAACACCUUGUUCAGUCAAAUUUAGCCAUCAUAGCCCAUCGGACCCUCGAGCUUGUAGUGCAAAUAAUACGUCAACCGCAGGGGGGUGGUGGGCAGAGAAGGAAGCUUGAUAGUCUAAUGCAGUCAGAAAUCAUCAGCAAUAAAAGGGCCUACCUCAUAAACGUUCACAAUCCCGAUAAUAAGCUGUUUUGCAAUAGGCCUAGCGCAUUUACUUAACCCCGGAUGUACUGAUCUGACGGCAUAUCAAAAGGCUAGAGAGCUCCAAACGGCGGUGGGUCUCGGGAUACAGGAAGGGGUGGCAUUCUCAGACAUUGUCAAAUUUGAAAACUUUCUGAAUAUCAAGAUUGUGGUUUUGUACCACAGUAGAGCUAAUGCAGCUCUCUUGAAGUUCCAAAACACCCCAACCGCACCCUCAGAUUCUGUACGUAUGUGCAAAACGAACAUUAAUACGCCGUUACCAACAUCACGGCAUUCAUAGGCGCACCCUAUGUGUCCAUCCUGCCAUACCGGCUACACCCGAAAGGGGGGGCACUUGUGCCGUUAUAACUGUUCAGUAUGUCAGGAUGCAGAGUGCCCUAUGCAAACCCUAAACUUGACACCAUGUGAGGAUUGCCAUCGCACAUGUCGUUCGACCUACUGUUACGAUAAACACAAAAUUGAAACAUGGCACCCUAAGGCCUGUAAAUCUGUAAGCAUUUGUGCAAUUAACAAGAAAUGCCCAAAAUGUCAUUGCAAUUACAGCCUUAAAAUAGAUAGCCCUAAACCACAUGUUUGUGGAAUCAUACAUUGUCCAAUCUGUAAAGGGCCUCUGAAAAGCAUGCUGAAGUGGUUCAAGAAGUGCCACAUGAGUGUUAUAUUCAGCCCUUGGCUGAAGAUGAACAUUCAGAGAAAUAUGUGUUCUAUGAUUGAGACAAAUCAGCAAUCGGGGAUCAUUUGCCUAUUUUUGUAUCUACCAUGACAUUCAAGGGGGAAAAGUGGUCUGCAGAAGGAUCCAAUUGUGCACUACUCUUUCUAAAACAUUUUAGAAAACCACAGUACCGAAACUUUACGUUUAUAGCGCACAAUGCUAGAGCCUACGACUCUUACCUUCUGAACCCCUUGAUACAGCAAGGCGUGGCCCCCAGUGUCAUAGCUCAAGGUAGUAAAAUCUUGUGUUUUGUAGAUCCAGCCUUCAACCAGAGAUAAACAAUGUAAGCUUCUUACCCAUGAGAUUGGCUCAAAUACCAGAGGCCUUGGGUUUUGAAAACUCUGUGAAAGGCUGGUUCCCCCACUUCACAUCUGAGGAGAAUCUACAUUAUAUCGGAUCAUAUCCCAGCCCAGAAAUGUACGGGUGUGAUCAAAUGUCUCCCAAAGAGCGUGAGAGAUUCAUGACGUGGUAUGAGACAGUAAGACAUGGAGCCUUUGAUUUCCAUAAAGAGAUGGAAUCAUACUGUGACAAUGAUGUCGUUAUACUUUGUGAAGGAUGACUUAGAUUCAGAGGUAAUCAAAGAUGCAGGCAUUGACCCCUGGAGUUGUACAACUAUUGCAUCAGCAUGCAUGAAAAAAUACCGUACACACUAUCUGCCUACAGCCUCUAUAGCUAUCCCCUCGCCUGACAACUACCGACGCCAAUAUGGCCUAGGAUAAAGACAUUUUUAUUCAACAUGCUUUGAAUCGAGGGGAGAAGGCAUUUGGCUCUUACCAUGUAGAUGGCUACACCCAGAUUGACGGGGUUGAGACUGUGUAUGAGUACAACGGUUGUUUCUUCCAUGGUUGCAAAUCUUGCUUUGUGCCCCAGAACAUGUGUGUCCUAACCCAAAAGACUUUUGGGGAAAUGUACCAAGAGUUUCAAGACAAAGUUGAUUCUUUACAGGCUACUUACGGUCUAAAAGUGAUUGUUUUGUGGGAGCACGAAUGGACAGCCCUCAAAAAGUCUGAUCCUCAUGUUCAAGCAUUCCUUUCCAGCUUUGACACCCCAGAACCUCUGGAGCCAAGACAGGCCUUGUAUGGCGGCCGUACCAAUGCUUUGACAUUGAGAUAUGUAGCGCAACCCGACGAGACAAUAGGUUGUGUUGAUUUUACAUCCCUUUAUCCGCAUGUAAUGAGUUCCUCAUGCUAUCCUAUAGGUCAUCCUGAAAUUAUUCAUUGUGAUUUUGACUUACCUCAAAACUAUUUUGGUCCGACCACAGCAACAAUCUACCCUCCAAGGGGUUUGUUUAUACCUGUGUUGCCUUACAGGGGCCCUCAAGGAAAACUUUUCUUUCCCCUUUGUCGCACCUGCAGUGAAAACAUACAACAAACCCCAUGUGAUCACACUGAUCAAGAAAGAGCACUGACAGGUGUAUGGUUCACAGCUGAAUUCUAAGGCUUUAGAGAUGGGGUAUCGUGUGGCCAAAAUCUCUGAAGUAUGGAACUUUUCAAAGAAAUCAGACACUUUUUAAAGAGUACAUCAAGACCUUUUUGAGAUGUAAGCAAAUGGCUUCAGGCUAUCCUGCAUCGGUCACAGAUCAAGAGUGUAAAGACAGGUACAUUCAAGACUAUCAUGACAGAGAAGGCAUCCUUCUUGACCCUGACAGAAUAGAGGUCAACAAAACCAAAUGAAAUGUGUCAAAAUUGUACUUAAAUUUGCUUUGGGGCAAAUUAGCGCAGAGGUGUAAUAUGCUAACAACGUCGAUUAUUAAAGACCCUGAAGAAUUUUUGGAAUUCGUUUUUUCGGACCAAUACGAAAUUUCACAUUUUUCAUUCUUGAGUCAAGACAUUGCCUUGGUGCAAUGGCGACGUAACAAGUGGGUUCUACCCCCAGGUAAUGUAAAUGUGUUUCUUGCAGCAUUUACCACGGCCUAUGGUCGACUUGAACUGUACAAGCUCAUGGAGCAGCUUCAGAGGCGGGUACUUUACCAUGACACAGACUCUGGUCUAUGUAAGCAAACCGGGGGAUUGGAGCCCCCCACUCAGCAACUAUCUGGGUGGCUUAACGAGCGAACUCGCAGAGGGUGACCAUAUCACAGAAUGGUCAUCCUGUGGGCCCAAAAGCUAUGCUUUUAGAACGCUAAAGAAUCACGUGGUAUUGAAAGCCAAAGGAGUGACUCAAAACUAUGAAAAUGCCCAGCGUGUAAACUUGGAAUCAAUCACACGCUUGGUCGAGGGGUUCCUAAAUGACAGGAAUAGUGACUUGGAGAUCAGUUUGAACGCCAAUUACAAGGUUUUGUUCAAAAAUCCUAGAGACAAACUACAAAGUAACACUCUAGCUCAGCAGAUGUACCCGGGAAGGAAAUCUUACUUUAUGGAGAGCUACGAGGACACCACCCAAGCGCCAUUUUCUUAUUUAAUCGUGG